GCAGCGGUGACCAAGUGGCUAAAGGUGCAUGAUUGGAGAUCAUGUGUGCGCUAAUACUGUAGCGAGGGUUCAAAUCUCUCCCGCUCUA
This 88-nucleotide transfer RNA is filed under the name Sporisorium scitamineum. RNAcentral describes it as "tRNA-Ser (GGA) (tRNA-Ser-GGA-1-1)". It matches the Rfam family "tRNA". Rfam says of the family: Transfer RNA (tRNA) molecules are approximately 80 nucleotides in length. Their secondary structure includes four short double-helical elements and three loops (D, anti-codon, and T loops). Further hydrogen bonds mediate the characteristic L-shaped molecular structure. tRNAs have two regions of fundamental functional importance: the anti-codon, which is responsible for specific mRNA codon recognition, and the 3' end, to which the tRNAs corresponding amino acid is attached (by aminoacyl-tRNA synthetases). tRNAs cope with the degeneracy of the genetic code in two manners: having more than one tRNA (with a specific anti-codon) for a particular amino acid; and 'wobble' base-pairing, i.e. permitting non-standard base-pairing at the 3rd anti-codon position. Lineage: Eukaryota; Fungi; Basidiomycota; Ustilaginomycetes; Ustilaginales; Ustilaginaceae. The record is from RNAcentral.